CAGUAGCCGCGGUAAUACGAAGGGUGCAAGCGUUAAUCGGAAUUACUGGGCGUAAAGCGUGCGUAGGCGGUGAGUUAAGUCUGCUGUGAAAUCCCCGGGCUCAACCUGGGAAUGGCAGUGGAUACUGGCUCGAUAGAGUGUGUCAGAGGAUGGUGGAAUUCCCGGUGUAGCGGUGAAAUGCGUAGAGAUCGGGAGGAACAUCAGUGGCGAAGGCGGCCAUCUGGGACAACACUGACGCUGAGGCACGAAAGCGUGGGGAGCAAACAGGAUUAGAUACCCCGGUAGUCCCUGUCUCUUAUAC
Molecule: ribosomal RNA, 301 nt
Filed under: uncultured bacterium
Lineage: Bacteria
Description: partial 16S ribosomal RNA
Rfam family: Bacterial small subunit ribosomal RNA
Source: RNAcentral